Molecule: ribosomal RNA, 378 nt
Filed under: uncultured bacterium
Lineage: Bacteria
Description: bacterial SSU rRNA
Rfam family: Bacterial small subunit ribosomal RNA
Source: RNAcentral
UACAGGGGGCGCGAGCGUUGCUCGGAAUCACUGGGCGUAAAGCGAACGCAGGCGGACCGUUAAGUCGAAUGUGAAAUCCCGGGGCUCAACCUCGGAAGUGCAUUCGAAACUGGCGGUCUUGAGUACGGGAGAGGUGGGUGGAAUUCCUGGUGUAGAGGUGAAAUUCGUAGAUAUCAGGAGGAACACCGGUGGCGAAAGCGGCCCACUGGCCCGAUACUGACGCUCAUGUUCGAAAGCGUGGGGAGCAAACAGGAUUAGAUACCCUGGUAGUCCACGCCGUAAACGAUGAGUGCUAGCUGCUGGGGAUCUUUUAUUUUCCUCGGUGGCGUAGCUAACGCGUUAAGCACUCCGCCUGGGAAGUACGGCCGCAAGGCUAAA